CUACGUCCGGAAAGGAUAAACGCUGAAAGCAUCUAAGCGUGAAACCAGCCUUAAGAUGAGGUCUGUGAUUCGUAAGAAGUAAGGCCCCUUAUAGAUGAUAAGGUAGAUAGGCCAGAUGUGGAAGUGGAGUAAUCCAUGGAGCUGACUGGUACUAAUAGGCCGAGCACUUGACUUAA
RNAcentral lists this ribosomal RNA (176 nucleotides) under Sporomusa acidovorans. Its description in RNAcentral is "23S rRNA. Bacterial LSU". It matches the Rfam family "Bacterial large subunit ribosomal RNA", at positions 2749 to 2925 of the family's 2925-position model. Lineage: Bacteria; Bacillati; Bacillota; Negativicutes; Selenomonadales; Sporomusaceae. The record is from RNAcentral.